Schizosaccharomyces pombe (fission yeast) is the source of this 629-nucleotide non-coding RNA. NCBI's taxonomy places the organism in Eukaryota, Fungi, Ascomycota, Schizosaccharomycetes, Schizosaccharomycetales, Schizosaccharomycetaceae. The record is from the annotation of a GenBank genome assembly.
UUUAGGUCCAUAUCCUUACAAUUUCACUCCUCUCAGACAAAUGUCUAAGACAAGUGUCCAUGAUCGUACCAAUCGCUCAAUUUAAUUCUCAAUCAUUAUUCUUUACUAUUUAAGUACAUGGCACCUUGGAUAGAUUCCAAUUUUGAAAGCAUCCUUGCUAGUGAGACGUCUCAUACUUCUCUUUCACUAAGGAUAUAUAUGCAUAUGCUUUCUUAGAUAUGCGAAUAAUUGAAAGGAUAUCAUAACAAUGCAGUAACUAACCCAUUUUUGUAUUUACUUUUUUUCAAGUUGAGUCGAACAACUGGAUCAUAAGGCGCAAGGAGGUUUUUAUAUUUAUAUUAGCAAAAUAGAAACGAUAGACAACAACAGGCAGCACAAAGAAUCGUGCAGCUCUUUUACCAAAGGGAGAGAAGGUCUAGUUUACUUCUUCCUACGAAUUUCGCCAAGGUAAAAAGUUUUUCCUCCAAAUUCUAUGAAAUCUGGAUAAAAUUAGUGAUUCUUGGAACAAACGGUUCUUUCAAUAAAUUGGCUUUUUUUCUCUGAGAUUUCUCAUAUUUUGGGUAUACUUUUAUAUCGACUAUUCGAAACAUCUUCUCCAAAUAAUCCUAGAAAUAGCCAAUACCACGAGA